CUGCAACUGCCUCUCAGAAAUCCUUCAGUGCCUCUAGGGUUUACUAAUUGGCCUCUAAUUCAGAGCAAACUGGGAAGUGAUAACAAAGAGGAUGAAGAGAUUGGAAAUGGAGAGAAAGGAAGCUGGCCUUCUGUCUUGAAGAGCAGAGGCAAGUCAUAGCAGGAUGCCAUGGAGAUGCAAAACUGGAGGGAUCAGAGAACUCAAUUUGCAGUUAAAUGCUGUAAACAAUGCUUACAAGUUCGUCAAAGAAAAUGAUUAAAAAUAUACUUGGUUGCCAGAGG
This is a non-coding RNA of Rattus norvegicus (Norway rat), 281 nucleotides long. Lineage: Eukaryota; Metazoa; Chordata; Mammalia; Rodentia; Muridae. The record is from RefSeq and is a predicted model, not a curated record.